UCCCAACCUGAGAAGCGGAGCCCAGGCAGAUUGUUCAUGUCCAGCACUGAUACAGCUGCUGCUCAGCAACACAAGAGCAAGGAUGACUCCCUGGAGCUACUGAGAAAAAUGGUGAACAUGGAAAAUCCCAGGACGAAGUACACUGAACUGGAAAAUAUUGGCAGUGGGACUUUUGGGGACGUUUGUAGAGCACUCGACACUGCCACAGGAGGAGAGGU
This is a non-coding RNA of Cyanistes caeruleus (blue tit), 218 nucleotides long. The record is from RefSeq and is a predicted model, not a curated record. Lineage: Eukaryota; Metazoa; Chordata; Aves; Passeriformes; Paridae.